GUAAACCAGGGUGUAUCAGGCUCUUCCUGUGCCCAAAGGAUGAUGUGUGCAACUCUCCUGGCUCUGAAUUCAGAACCGCAGAGUAUUCAGUGAAGGAGGAUGGCAGUGACUCCUGGGUCAGUGUCCCCUGAAUUUUCUGCUGUUCUGUUCAGCAGAAUCUCACUUUCAGCAUGCAGAGAGUACAAAACUCCUCCACUGUUCUUUGCCGUGUUGUGAACAUGCACAGCCUUCUUCUUCUGGAAGAACUCCAAAYAAAAGGCUCAGCUGAGACACCAAAGUGCAGGAUUUCAGCUGGCACAGAUCCAACCAGAUCAGCUCUGCAGAGCCAACUGAGCUUAAUUGAACUGUGCUGGAAACCUAAAAGUGAAGAGGCUGCCAGGGAAACAACACAGGUUCCUGCAAGGGAGAGGACCCAGUGACGGGAGAACCUCACAAUGUUUUGUUCUGCUAAAUUGCCAAGAACAGGGAGCUUCACGGGACUGAAGGAGGAGAUGCUUUCCCACCAUCAGAGUGGAAAAUGGUUUAUCCCAAAUCCAUCUUUGCCUGGUCUUCUGGGGUUA
Long non-coding RNA from Malurus melanocephalus (red-backed fairy wren), 560 nucleotides. RefSeq lists it as uncharacterized. The record is from RefSeq and is a predicted model, not a curated record. Lineage: Eukaryota; Metazoa; Chordata; Aves; Passeriformes; Maluridae. The transcript has 4 exons.